UACAGAGGUCUCAAGCGUUGUUCGGAUUUACUGGGCGUAAAGGGCGCGUAGGCGGCCACUGCAAGUCAGUUGUGAAAUCUCCGGGCUUAACCCGGAAAGGUCAACUGAUACUGCAGGGCUAGAGUGCAGAAGGGGCAACUGGAAUUCUCGGUGUAGCGGUGAAAUGCGUAGAUAUCGAGAGGAACACCUGCGGCGAAGGCGGGUUGCUGGGCUGACACUGACGCUGAGGCGCGAAAGCCAGGGGAGCGAACGGG
Molecule: ribosomal RNA, 254 nt
Filed under: uncultured bacterium
Lineage: Bacteria
Description: partial 16S ribosomal RNA
Rfam family: Bacterial small subunit ribosomal RNA
Source: RNAcentral